CCUACGGGUGGCAGCAGUAGGGAAUAUUGCUCAAUGGGGGAAAGCCUGAAGCAGCAACGCCGCGUGGGGGAUGAAGGUUUUAGGAUUGUAAACUCCUGUUGGUAGAGAAGAUGAUGACGGUAUCUAACGAAUAAGCACCGGCUAACUCCGUUCCAGCAGCCGCGGUAAUACGGAGGGUGCAAGCGUUACUCGGAAUGACGGGGCGUAAAGAGUGCGUAGGCGGGGUAAUAAGUCAGCUGUGAAAUCCUGUGGCUUAACUACAGAACUGCCUUUGAAACUGUUACUCUGGAGUGUGGGAGAGGUAGGUGGAAUUCUUGGUGUAGGGGUGAAAUCCGUAGAGAUCAAGAGGAAUACUCAUUGCGAAGGCGACCUGCUGGAACAUUACUGACGCUGAUGCACGAAAGCGUGGGGAGCAAACAGGAUUAGAUACCCCUGUAGUC
This 440-nucleotide ribosomal RNA is filed under the name uncultured bacterium. RNAcentral's name for it is "partial 16S ribosomal RNA". It matches the Rfam family "Bacterial small subunit ribosomal RNA", at positions 338 to 795 of the family's 1533-position model. The record is from RNAcentral.